AUUUGCAGAAGAGACACUUGAGAGAGAGAUACAACAAAGCUUUAAAGCACGAAAAAGAUGAACUCGAAACACCAGUGACUGGAGGAACCAUGACAACACAAACAAGAAGGAAACAAGAAAGAAAAAGCAUAAUCCUGGUUUUUGUGUUCUGAAUUGUGGAUUUGAAAUGGAGGCUCCCGUGGCUGCUGACAGCCUGCCUUGAUGCUGCUGAUGUCUGGGUGAUGAACAGUCAUGGGUUUCCUCCCACCUGCCUCUGUGGAUUAAUGAAGAGCAAGGCAGGAAUGGCAGACCUGCCAUCUGGAAUGACCUUACCUGAUAAGAUUGUUCUGCCUU
This 333-nucleotide long non-coding RNA is filed under the name Homo sapiens (human). Its description in RNAcentral is "non-protein coding lnc-PUDP-1:1". The record is from RNAcentral. Lineage: Eukaryota; Metazoa; Chordata; Mammalia; Primates; Hominidae.